GAAUUUUUCGCAAUGGGGGAAACCCUGACGAAGCAACGCCGCGUGGAGGAUGAAGGCCUUCGGGUCGUAAACUCCUGUCGACCGGGAAGAAUGCCCACGACCUAAUACGUCGGCGUGUUGACUGUACCGGUGGAGGAAGCCACGGCUACCUCUGUGCCAGCCGCCGCGGUAAGACAGAGGUGGCAAGCGUUGUUCGGAAUUACUGGGCGUAAAGGGCGCGUAGGCGGUUCGCCAAGUCCCGUGUGAAAGCCCCCGGCUCAACUGGGGAAUUGCGCGGGAAACUAGCGGGCUUGAGUUCGGGAGAGGGAAGCGGAAUUCCGGGUGUAGCGGUGAAAUGCGCAGAUAUCCGGAGGAACACCGGUGGCGAAGGCGGCUUCCUGGACCGACACUGACGCUGAGGCGCGAAAGCUAGGGGAGGAAACGGG
This 425-nucleotide ribosomal RNA is filed under the name uncultured bacterium. RNAcentral's name for it is "bacterial SSU rRNA". It matches the Rfam family "Bacterial small subunit ribosomal RNA", at positions 359 to 776 of the family's 1533-position model. The record is from RNAcentral.